UCCAAUGGAAUCAGAUGGCUUU
This 22-nucleotide non-coding RNA is filed under the name Rattus norvegicus (Norway rat). The record is from RNAcentral. Lineage: Eukaryota; Metazoa; Chordata; Mammalia; Rodentia; Muridae.